GGCAGAUGCUGUGACUACUAUAAACACAUGGAAUGGGGGAAGGGAAGUUUCCCAAAAGAAGGACAAUGGGCGAGCAAAACCCACGCAAGCAUCUCAGCAAGGAAUCCAGCAGUCAUGGUAUUCAUACAUCUUGAGAGCUAGCUUCAGAAAAGCACAUACAGAAAACCAAGCCACAGUCACAGGCAAAUCUGUGUGCAGCUGAGGCCGCCCAAAGAGGGCCAUGGAGCGGCAGCUUCAGCAUCGUGUGGCCACCUGCUCUCACACAUCUGCAUUUGGCUGCACAGCAGGACCUUGCAACUGAGUUUAGGGGCCAGAAAUGGGGGAGGCAGAGUUUCCAAGUGGCCAACCCACUGUUAUCUUUUCAAUAAAAUUGGGCG
RNAcentral lists this long non-coding RNA (377 nucleotides) under Equus caballus (horse). RNAcentral's name for it is "lncRNA (ENSECAG00000045172.1)". Lineage: Eukaryota; Metazoa; Chordata; Mammalia; Perissodactyla; Equidae. The record is from RNAcentral.